GAAAAAUGCAGCCAGAGGAGGACUGGGUGUUUGUGUCGGGGCGGGUGUUUGUGUCGGGGCGGGGCGGGGUGGUUCUCAAAACUAGUCACUUUCUCAUGCCUGUGGAUGGGGCAGGGGGUGUGCGUGUGUGCGUGUGUGUGCAUGUGUGUGUGUAUGUGUAGGGGGAUGGACAGUGAGUCCUCCCUUUGUGAUUAAGAGCAGCAAAUGCAGUUAGAGACAGUAAGAAGUUUUAGCUUCAUACUCUUCCCCAUGAUCUGCCCCCAGUUUCCCUCUCUGGAGCUGUUAAUGAAUAACCGAUCUUAACAUCCAACUUCAAUCCCCUCCCCAGGCACCGUGUCAGGCCAGGGUACUACAACCAGGCGACAACGCUGAGGUCCAGGGCAGUGGCAACAUUCCUCAGCAGUUACUUAGCUGGGUGGUGGAAAAAAAAAAUGCAGCCUAAUUGGCCAGUGGCCUUUUCUAGUGAAUGAAGGAGGUUUCUGUUUUAAGAAAUAAAGUGACUUCUCAGCGGCUGUUGAUUCACUGCCCACAGGGAGAUUUUUGAGCCGAGGCUUCCUAGCCUUGGUAGAAAUUUGCAUACAACUUCCACUUCCUGCUUCGGAGCCUGUUCCAGCUUACCUGGGCCGGGAGAGGGUGGAGGGAGGCCCGGAGCGACCCAAGAAGGAGAGAGCGUGAUCACCCCGUGGCCCGGUCUGUCUGUCCGUGGUGGCUCUAAGAAACUAGGAUGAACCGAAGCAUUCCUGUGGAGGUUGAUGAAUCAGAACCAUACCCAAGUCAGUUGCUGAAACCUCUCUCAGAAUACUCCCUAGAAGAAGAAUCCGAAUUACCUGCUCCAGAUAUAAGGAACAUGGCACCCAACAGCUUGUCUGCACCUCAAACCCCUCACUCUUCCUCAGGAGACUUUUCUCGUGCUCACCCAACCCUGAAGCUUUCAAAUCACCAGCAGCCUGUGUCACAGCAGGUCACCUGCCUGCGCACUAAAGUCCUGGCAGAGAGUGAAGACAGCUUCUGGAGGAGACACCCAGACCCCGGCAAAGAUUUUCCCUCGGGCUGCUCUGUAGCCAGAAAGCCUGAGGCUGAGUCUGUGGUUGGAGCCCUCCCGCCCGAGCAUCAGUUUUCACUUAUGGAAAAACGUAAUCAAUGGCUGGGAUCUCAGCUUUCAGCAGCUUCUCCUGACACUGGCCAUGACUCAGACAAAUCAGACCAAAGUUUACCUAAUGCCUCAGCAGACCCCCCAGGCAGUAGCCAAGAGAUGGUGCCACGGGCCCGGACCCACAGGAACCGAGCAGCCCCUGACCUGCGUACGAUAGACACGGGAUAUGAUUCACAGCCCCAGGACGUCCUGGGCAUCAGGCAACUGGAAAGGCCCCUGCCCCUCACCUCCAUGUGUUACCCCCAGGACCUCCCCAGGCCUCUCAGAUCCAGGGAGUUCCAUCAGUUUGAACCUCAGAGAUAUCCAGCAUGUGCACAGAUGCUGCCUCCCAGCCCUUCCCCACAGGCUCAGUGGAACUAUCACUACUAUUGUCCUGGAGGCCCUGAUCACCUGGUGCCAUAUGGCCAUGAGUACCCUCAAGCAGCCUACCAGCAAGUGAUCCAGCCGGCUCUACCUGGGCAGGCCCCACCUGGAGCCAGUGUGAGAGGCCUGCAUCCUGUGCAGAAGGUUGUCCUGAACUAUCCCAGCCCCUGGGACCAAGAGGAGAGGCCUCCACAAAGAGACUACUCCUCCCUAGGGCUCCUGAGGGAUCAGGGCCGGCUUUAUAACCAGCCACCUCAUAGAGCUGGUGCUCUUGAGGGGUCCUUGGAGUGUCCUGCAGAGUUGAGACCGCAGGGUCCCCAGACUCCAUCCCCAGCUGCUAUCCCUAGACCCCCAAGUAACCCUCCAGCCAGAGGAACUCUGAAAACAAGCAAUUUGCCAGAAGAACUGCGGAAAGUCUUUAUCACUUAUUCUAUGGACACGGCCAUGGAGGUGGUGAAAUUUGUGAAUUUUUUGUUGGUAAAUGGCUUCCAAACUGCAAUUGACAUAUUUGAGGAUAGAAUCCGAGGCAUUGAUAUCAUUAAGUGGAUGGAACGCUACCUUAGGGAUAAGACAGUGAUGAUAAUUGUAGCAAUCAGCCCCAAAUACAAACAGGAUGUGGAAGGUGCUGAGUCACAGCUGGACGAGGAUGAGCAUGGCUUACAUACUAAGUACAUUCAUCGAAUGAUGCAGAUUGAGUUCAUAAAACAAGGAAGUAUGAACUUCAGGUUCAUUCCUGUGCUCUUCCCAAAUGCUAAGAAGGAGCAUGUGCCCACCUGGCUUCAGAACACUCACAUCUACAGCUGGCCGAAGAAUAAAAAAAAUAUCCUGCUGCGGCUGCUCAGAGAGGAAGAGUAUGUGGCUCCCCCCCGAGGGCCUCUGCCCACACUCCAGAAACGCUUGUACGGAGGAGUAAUUGCAGCCCCCAGAUCUCCCAGGACUCGUAAACUAAGACCAGGAGGGCACACACUUCUUGUCCCUGGCCUGACCUCCUUUGCUCCCUUCACCAGGAAGGUGCUGACGGUGAAACAUCACAGAGCCUGCCUUUGUUGCCAACAUCUUAAUUAAGACUCAAGCUCUUCCCUGGGCCCUCUCGGUUUAGGAUCUCCCCUCUCUGGCUCCAGUGUCUUCAGCAGUAACUCAUCAACACAGUACAGUCACAUCACAGGCCCAUCAUCUGAGAAGCACCACCACCAGUCUACUCCAGGAAUGAAGAUCUUUCAGCUGCUGAGCGGUGUGGAUGGAUAAAGAGCCUGGCUGACUGGUUUAGGAGACAAUCCAGAUUUGGUAAGAACCUCUGCUUCAUAUUUUCAUCUUAAGGAGAGGUCUUCUCUGCUAAAGUCGAAUGGAAAAUGAAAUUACCUGCUAAUUCAGGCAAGAAAAAUCUCAGCUCCCUACUCUCAUAAAUUUGUGAAAAUAAAUGUUUUAAAAACAAAUUACAACUCAAUUGCCCUAGUUCUCAUUUGAAAACAUCUGGUGAGACCACUGGGUACAGUUUUCCACUACCCUUUUUUUUUUUUUCUUUAGGUAUAAAAACACACAUACAAAGGUUUCUUAUAAUCUUAAAAGAACAGGGUGGCAUGCUAUUUACUGACAGGCUGACCUUUACACAAAGAACCCUAACCUUCAACAAGCUGAAAUUACUGUUACUGAUGCCUUCAGAAUAUCAUCUUCUUCAGAAAGCAUCAUGUUUUGUCCAAGUCAUACAGAAGUGGCUAUAUUAUGGACACCAUUUGGCCACCAAAUGGUGCAAGGCAGAGGGCAGGGGAAAAUUAUUUCUGCAGUACCAACUAUAAGUCUGAUACUGUGCAAGGAAAAAUAGGAAAUGUCA
Molecule: RNA transcript, 3344 nt
Organism: Physeter macrocephalus (sperm whale)
Lineage: Eukaryota; Metazoa; Chordata; Mammalia; Artiodactyla; Physeteridae
Gene: TRAF3IP2
Gene name: TRAF3 interacting protein 2
Exons: 12
Source: RefSeq, a predicted model, not a curated record